GUUGCUUCUGGAAUCAUCAGCUGAAGCGGCAGGAGGAAGGUGCCAGGGAGAACAGAGUGUCGUUGAGCCGUUCGGUUUUCACCUCGGACUUCCCAGCAGCUUUUGCAGAGUGGUGUCUAGAUUACGGAGCACACGGGUGCCGCAUUCCUGACAGACCCUAUUCGCUCUUUGAAGGCAUGGCUGGCGCUAUUCACUUUCUCUCUGAUGUCCUGGGACCAGAGACAUCACGGUUUCCAGCAUUUGAACUUGACUCUUCGAAGAGGGAUUAAAAGGUGCAAAAAGACAACUAAAAUACCCAUUUGGACCAAAAGCCACCAGAUUGCUUAGUGCCUGACACAGAAACAACUGGGAAUCCUGAAAGAGAAGCAGACACCGUCACAGGCCCCUCUGGUUAGACUAGCAUGAGUGACCGAAGCCAUCCAUCAACAUUUUCUAACAGCACCCUCAUCAAUAUAAAAUAUGACUUCUUCACAUACAGAUUCUCUGUAGUGUUUGCAUGUUUCUUGGUGUUUGUUGUCUCCAGGUGUAAGCUGUUUUAAAUGGAAGGCCCUUCUAUUCCUGAGGGCUCAGAGCUGACCAUGCAUGAAUGUAUGGCAGUGUCCACUUUUCUGUAUAAAAUGUAUAAAGUGGGGUUUCUUCCAUAUUGACAAAUGAGGGAACAGGUGGUGUCUAUCUUGUAUAUCAGAAAGAUUAUCUAGGGUCUAUCCUAGUGAUAAUACAUUGUCAGCCUUUUCUGUGGCACCUUCCAGAUGAGAAUGAGGGAGCGACCACUCCAAGGACGGACAGGACCAGCAGUUCUGCAGGGGCGUGCUGGGGUGGUUUGGGAGUGCACAGCUGAACGCUUCCCGUUUGGAUUUUACACUCACCUUCGUGUUUUAAAGAAGCCUCAGAGUGCAUUGCAGCUCUGUCAGGGCCCCAUUCCCAGCAGAGGCUUCAGGUGCUUUGUGUAGAGUCCAGGGCAGCUGGAGCUUUGUUGGGGAGACUUCUGGACCCAAAGGGAGCUUUCCCAAGAAGCCUUUGAUGGCCACACUGUAGGCAGCAGUGACUAAGCACUGGCAGUUCCAGAACAUUUACCCAGGUAUAUGUUACUAAAACAGGCUCCACCUCAGUUUAUCAACAUUAUAAGUUACUGUUCUAAGAAAAGUAAAUACAGUUCCAGAUGGGUUAUUGCAGAUUAACAGAAAGACACUCAACUGGACUCAUGUCCCUGCAAUUAAACUUACUUCAACCUUUUGGAAAGUUAUCAAAAUCUAAAUUUGGAAUGAAUGCAUUUCCUAUUUUUUGUCUACUUUUGGGUGAUAAAAAGUACUAGCCCUUAUUUAUAGAUAUGAGAAACAUAAUGUUCUAACCAACAACAUUAUGGUAUUUGUGUGACUUUUAUUUGAAAAAAUGUGAGCAGUAAUUUGGGUUAGCCUACCUUCAUUAAUUCUAUCACAUAGAUUUCAGUUUUUAGAAGGGUUUCUGUCAUCAUGGAAGAGGUGGUCUGGGACUAGGUACUUCUCGUCUUGUGAGCUAAGGCUUGUGUCAUGAAAGACAAGAGGCCUCUCUUAACAGCCCAGUCCUUGUCUGCAGGGGGAGGCCUGAGCAUUUCCCAGCCCCAGUGUCCACACCUCUCAGAAAAGAGAAAAAAGAAUGUCAGUUUAGGAGAAAAGCUUCCUUUUUACUUGUGUGGUUAUGUGUGGGGCUGGCACCCGAAAUGUGUGACAUUCAGCUUCUAAACGAUGCCUGGAGAGUCUGUUUGCUGCAGACACCCUUGCUCCUGAGUCAUUAUUUUCUUUCAUGUUAGAUUGAUGACUUCUGUGAAUAGAAAUCAUCCUGAUCCUAUUUUACCUGGCCUCCAGGGCCUGUUGAUGGGCUUUGCAGGCAGUCCAGCAGCCCACACCUGCAGGCAGGAUGCUGUCGUCAAUGAGCUGAGGGUAGCUGCUUUGCUGAAGACCUCACACGAUGUCCAAUCUCAUCCAAAUAACAUUGUUCCCAUCCUCCCCACCCACCACAUCAAAACAUAACACAUCACAGCACUCAGUAGAGGUCCUGCCUCCCCAUUUCUCAAGGGAAGCCAGUAGGCAACACAGCCAGCACGGUGCUCUCCAGGGCAGCCCCUCUCAGACGAGGAGGCAGCGGGUGCAGCCAGGUGUCUGCAGAGCAGCCACAAAGGUGGCCUAGGAUGCGGGUGUCUCCCCAGGUGAGUCCAUCCACACACGUUUGAAAAACACUAUUAGUCUUUCUAACACACUGAGGGAAAGAUUAAAAUCUGUGGAAUAAAGGAGGAGAUUUUAUUUACAGAUUUUUUUAAAAGCCACCUGGGUUGACACCUUCCUACUUAUCCACUAGAUGUCAUCAGAGGUGCUGUUCCGUGGUUCUGCAUUAACCCCUGCCUCAUGUCUGUAACAUGUGACAGUAAUUCCAGCUCGGUCCCUCCAGGCAAAGGAGAAACGGGACUUACUUCACAGGACAGAGGAUUGACAGAAGUCAGUUUAAGAUAAGUGUUUGAAUCAGAUUUCAGUACAUCUCAUUCAUUUCUUAGAUUUGUAUUCACAAUUGUGUUCUCUAAAAUGUGUCUAAAUUUUAAAAAUAUGUACAUGCAUAAUGUCAUUUUAAAAUCUGAAGGAAAGAAUUUGAAGUCCACAAAAAGUGUUUGAGGUUCUUUGGUUUUGUUAGUAAAAGCCAGUUCUGUGGUGAUGACCUAUGGAA
Molecule: long non-coding RNA, 2691 nt
Filed under: Homo sapiens (human)
Lineage: Eukaryota; Metazoa; Chordata; Mammalia; Primates; Hominidae
Description: HSALNT0123104
Source: RNAcentral